Molecule: ribosomal RNA, 213 nt
Filed under: Triticum aestivum (bread wheat)
Lineage: Eukaryota; Viridiplantae; Streptophyta; Magnoliopsida; Poales; Poaceae
Description: partial small subunit ribosomal RNA
Source: RNAcentral
AUGUGGUAUCUUCGGAGGGGGGUGGUGCUAACCAAAGAUAACCUCGCCCGUCGCAACUGGCAAGGAAGUAAGAAGUGUAGCUUUUGUUCUCACGACGAGACAAUCAGACACCUCUUUUUCCAGUGCAAGUUUGAGCAUUUUACAUGGUCAAUCAUCAAAAUAACGUCUAAUCUAUAUCCACCAACAGGUGUUGCUAAUAUUUUUGGUCAUUAG